RNAcentral lists this long non-coding RNA (1876 nucleotides) under Homo sapiens (human). RNAcentral describes it as "long non-coding RNA NONHSAT100917.2". The record is from RNAcentral. Lineage: Eukaryota; Metazoa; Chordata; Mammalia; Primates; Hominidae.
AAAGCCUGCAAAAACCCAAAGAGUUCGUGGCGCUGGUGGCUCCAGCUGUUAGUUUCCCGGGCAGUCUCCGGGUUGGAUUUGCACCCUGGGGUCUACACGGGUUAAAAACGCGGAAAAAAGGCGACGAAGAAAUACAAACUGCCAGGGUGUCGAAAUGAAAGGAGCGACUGUGAAAGGGGUAAGGAAAAAUCCAAGCCAUCUCUACGGGGAGGAUCCAGAAAGCACCAGCCGCGCCAGGGGGUCAACCAACUCCGACACCGCUCGGCGUCAGCUGGGCGCCACCAGGCGCGGACUUCGGAGCGAGGGCAGGUGCGCGGGCCGGAAGCCUCGGGCGCUCACCUGGCACCUACCUGGAGCUCACCUGGCGCCCGGGCCCCGCGCCGCCGCCCCCCGCCCAGCCCGCCGCGCCCGCACCUCGCGGUCCUUGAGGCCCAGCAGGAGCACUUCCUCCAUCAGGGUCAGCCGCGUUUCCUUGGAGUCGCCCUUGUCGUCGUCGUCCUGCUCGUCGCGGCGGCUCUGCGCGUCGUCCUCGCUGCUGCCGGCGCCGCCGCCCGCCGCCCGCUCCUUGUCGGCGGCGUUGCGGGAGGCCUCGGUGCGCCGCUGCACCAGGCCGGAGCUGCGCUGGGUCAGCGAGGUCAUGGCUCCCGCCGAGGCGCCGAGCCGGGCCGAGAGGGUCGCAGGACCGACCGGGUCGCCCUCCUCCUCCCCGCGCGGCCUCCGAUCCGGGUUUCCGUGUUAAAUCCGGACGCCGGGGCGACGUCCGUCGGCAGCAGGGCCGGGGGCAGUCAUGAGGAAACAGGUCAGGGCGAAGCGGGCUGGCCGGGCGUCGGCGGGGCAGGAGAGGAGCGCCUUCCUGCCUGUGGCCGCAGUCCCCGAAACACCCCGAGCUCCAAGGCGGAGGCGGCGGCGGCGCCUUUCCAAUAUGGCGGCCCCGGCUGACGUCACCGGAGGAUGUGGCAGAGUCGGCGCGGGAGAGCUGGGCCGGGAGGCGCCGGAAGCGGCGGCCGGGGAUCCGCUGCCACUGCAGCCUACACCCUUCCCGGCCCUCGGUGCUUGUCUUUUCUUUGGCGUUCCUGCGCCCCCUGACCCGCGGUCCUGCAGUCCUGCUCCCGUGACGUGCCCUCCCUCCUUCCGUUCCCCGUUUCCCCUUCACUACCCAGGGCUGGAGCCUGAACCUGGCGGGGCCCCCCGUGAAUGGAAGAGCCUGGGCCACGCGAAGGUGGACCCCACUCAGCCUCCAGCCGUGCCCUCCACGCCCCAGACACCGCCGUCUUCGGAGGCGACUCCGCGGUCGUGUGGACGGGGUCCCAUUUGGACUCCGGGGUCUGCAGGAUCGGCAGGAAGGACUUUGCUCUCUGCUGCUGGGCGGGGAGGGGUACGCUAUCUGCCGGGACUCCCUAACCCUUUAGAAGGAGCAAGUGCGUCCAAAUGGUUUGAAAGUGGACCUUUAUUGUUUUCCAGGAGUAAGAAGAUAGAACAGUUGACCAGUUUUGUUUGUAAAACUUCUUUCCUUGCCUCGGACUUGUGCUAUAAAGUGACCAGGGCGUAGUGAGUACAGUUAGUACCGCACACGUUAGCACGCUCGACCUUAACGAUCUUUUUAUAGAGACAAUAAACCUGCAGCGUUUCAUGCCACGUCUUUGUACGCAUCGGAUGUCUCUCCGUGUAGUUACUAGGUGAAAUCCUCUUGGCGUGCGCAAAUUAGGUUAAAAAAAUAGCUGUCAAACCUGAGACAGGAGUUGGAGGAGUAGAGGGUGGCGCUUGUUAAGUGAAACAUUUAACCAGGAAUGGUAUUGUGUGCCAUCCUGUAUUAAACAAUGUAUGGACAGAGUGGAACAACAGCAAAGCAAAAAAUAAAAAUUUUUUAAAAAAAGUG